This 400-nucleotide ribosomal RNA is filed under the name uncultured bacterium. RNAcentral's name for it is "bacterial SSU rRNA". It matches the Rfam family "Bacterial small subunit ribosomal RNA", at positions 355 to 772 of the family's 1533-position model. The record is from RNAcentral.
UGGGGAAUAUUGGACAAUGGGCGCAAGCCUGAUCCAGCCAUACCGCGUGGGUGAAGAAGGCCUUCGGGGUGUAAAGCUCUUUCGCCCGCGAAGAUAAUGACGGUAGCGGGAGAAGAAGCCCCGGCUAACUCCGUGCCAGCAGCCGCGGUAAUACGGAGGGGGCUAGCGUUGUCCGGAGUCACUGGGCGUAAAGCGCGCGUAGGCGGCCUGUUAAGUUGGGUGUGAAAGCCCGGGGCUCAACCCCGGAUGUGCAUCCGAGACUGGCAGGCUGGAGUCCGGGAGAGGGCGGCGGAAUUCCCAGUGUAGAGGUGAAAUUCGUAGAUAUUGGGAAGAACACCGGUGGCGAAGGCGGCCGCCUGGCCCGGAACUGACGCUGAGGCGCGAAAGCGUGGGGAGCAAA